Molecule: long non-coding RNA, 492 nt
Organism: Juglans regia (Persian walnut)
Lineage: Eukaryota; Viridiplantae; Streptophyta; Magnoliopsida; Fagales; Juglandaceae
Exons: 3
Source: RefSeq, a predicted model, not a curated record
UCUCUCUCUCUCUCUCCCAUUUAAUUUUCUGUCUUCUUUUUCACUUCCGACGAAGUGCUUGCAGAACUGGACCCUCUGUCGAGCUUAUGGACAGAUGAAAUCUGGGGUUCUCUACCCAACCUGAAAUCUUGAUUUUUCUGAAAGAAUUCAUGGCCGCCCGAGGAGUAUAUCAGCAGGAACACUUUGCAGUUGUUUGAUUUCGAUAGUGCUGCCCCUCCGGAACAAGCCUGGAGGAGGAGAUGAAAUAGUGUCACAUUUAUUGACGCAAUAAGGAUGGUAAGAGAUUGUUCUCUUUCUUAUUAGUUCACUGAUUGUGGAAACAGACGUGUGCAAUAUUUAAUCUUGUGCAAAAUAGCUGUUGCACAAGAUUCCAGUUCUUUAACAAGAAUCAGAGAAAGAGAGGAAAAUUGGGAUUGGAAACAGCCACUUUUGUACUCCAGGUGCAAAAGUGUUUACAUACAGAAGGUGGCCCUCUGAAAGUCUAGUACGUAA